This 2533-nucleotide long non-coding RNA is filed under the name Equus caballus (horse). Its description in RNAcentral is "lncRNA (ENSECAG00000058152.1)". Lineage: Eukaryota; Metazoa; Chordata; Mammalia; Perissodactyla; Equidae. The record is from RNAcentral.
CGGGCACGCGCGCGCACGCGAGGAGCGCGCGGCUGCUGGGCCGCCGUCCGGGGAGGCGUGGGCGAGCUGCGCCUGCCUGCCCAGAGCCGAGCCCGGCGGAGUCCGGCCGCGCGGUGCUGCUCUCUCCCGGGCCGGGCUCGUCCGUUCCCCCGGCGUCCGUGGACGCCGCUCCGUGUCCCCGCUGGGCACAGCAGCCCGGGCCCUCCACAGCCACGGCCGCUAGCCUGAGGAGGCCCUCCUUCAGCUCGCGCUCUUCCCGCUCGCCGGACCCGGACGACCAGGGCGCCCGCGAAGAUGAUUCCAUCUGGGAGAGGUACCUGGGGGCGUGGGCCUGGGGGCUGGUGGGAGGCGAGCGUGUCCCUGAGGAGUAGGCUUGUGCGCCGAGAGGUGCCCGUCAGGUGGCGGGACAGCUGUGCGGCGCGGGGAGCGAGGGGGUCUCUUCGUGCGCUUCAGGCGUUCGUGGAACGGGCGGUGUGUGCCGGGCACGGGGCCAGCCUGGGGGUGCGGUGCCCGGGAGUCGGGCGCUGAAGCGCCACCCGUGGUCUUGGCUUCUUGGAAGGACAGACGCGAAGUCGCUAACGACACUGGUCUCCAUGCGUUCUGAGGAGUGCAGGUCUCCCUCUUUGAGAGGCUACGUUCCGUUGGGGUUUUCAUGAAGCCUGUUGUGCACCUGAAGCUCAGGCCGGUUCAGGGGAAGUGGCCUGUCGAGGGCCACAUCAUAUUUGUGUGCAGAGCCAGUGCUUUCCAAAGCCCGUGACGGUGUGGAAGUCUACCUGUUAGGGGUGCAGUGGGGGCUGUCAGGGGAGCGUUGUGAGCACAGGUAUGUGUCCCACACUUGAAAGCACGGCAAAGAAAGCGUGAGGCGCGAGGGUGCUCCGUUCGUUCCCUCCUUCCACAGAAAGUCUGGAGAGUUGGCUUUGGGACAAGUCCUUCCUUUCCUCUGGUCGGCGCGUGUUCAGUGGUCUGCACACUUGAGCAGCAAGACUGACAGGGUGUUUGACGUACUGGACCUCACAGCCUGGUUGGAAAGGACAGAUAGGCGGCAACUGAUUACCUAGGAGAUACGUGAAAGCAAUUUUGUGUUGAGUGUCGAGAAAGACAGCAUUUCCUGUUAGACUUUGUUACUUAGGCAGUGACGUUGAAGCUGAGAGCAGAUGCCUAAAAGAAAAGGAGGACUUGUGCGGGAGAGUUUUGGGACAGGGCAAGGGAGGAGUAUGGCCUGUCAGAGGAGCUGAAAGAAUGCCCUGGAGACUGGGGCCGCGUAGGGAGCGUAGGGUGGGGACAACAGAACUUUUCGAUUGAGGCUGGCGCUUUCUCUAGGUUUUUGGAGACCAAGCGUGGUGAUUCGGAACGUGGACUCUGCAGCCAGACUCUGUCAAAUGGGUCCUAGCUCUGCCACCUACGGGCUGUGUGAACUUGGGCAAGUUACUGGACCAUUCUGUGUGUCAGUUUCCUGAUCUGUAAAACGGGGAUGAUUAUAAUACACACUCCAUAGGUGAGUGUAAAGGUGAGAGGAUAUUUCAUAUCCGUAAAGUACUUAGAGCAGCGUCUGGCCUUUAGUAGGCGUUAGUAGUGGUUGAUUCAAGAAAUGGAUAAACGCAGACAUAAGUAGUAAAGGCUUGGAGGCUGUCCCUGGUGAAACGUGUGAACUGGAAUGGAUUACAGCCAACAUUGUUUCCUUUCCAGCUUGCAGUUGCUACUGACCGCAUCUGCAGCACUGUGGAAUCAGAAAAAAUCUCCCUCAACUUGGCUGCUCUUGGUAAAACAAUCUAAUGCUGUCCAAAUUAUCCCAGGGAAAUAAAAGCCUUUUCAGUAGCCUAGUAGGGUUAGGCUUAUUUCAUAUGUAUCGUUUAUAUUGGUUUGUUUAGUAUUUGCCGGGCGCGUUUUUUAUUUUUUUGCUUUUUUUAUUUAUUUAUUUUUUUUUUGGCAAAGGUGCUCGGUUAAAAAAAGCAGAUUAGCUAUGAAAUGGUUCAGACCCAGAGAAAAGUAGAGAGUCGUGUAAGCAGAGCACGCCUUUCCUUGACUCUCUGUCGAGAGCUUUUGUGAUUCCAGCUGCUCUCUGCCUCAGACACCGUGCCCUCUGCGUGUGCAGUCAUGUAAGCAGUGCAGGCUCUGGAACCGUGGAGGAUCUAAGGCAGUACAGUCGUGCUUUGCUUCACAGUGGGGAUAAGUUCUGAGGAGUGUGUCAUGGUCAGGCAAUCUCGAGACUCUCCAAGGGCACGGAAGCGUAACCUGUGGGGCUUUUGAAAAGAACAGAGACGCUCAAGGCCUGCUCUGGACCCACUGACUCAGAAUCUACUGGGAUAGUUCCCGGCUUUAAAGACCAGACAUAGUCCUCCUCUGCAGACAUCUCCUCAACGGUGUUUCACACUGGGUUUUCCCUCUUCUGAGAAAACAGGCCAAGAGAUUGUGAGGAUCCAUAAUUAGUGUUUUAAUACAGUUUGCAGGACUCAGUGUUUUUCACAUUCUGUGAUGGUGUGAUCCGCAUCUUCACUGUAAUGUGUUAAACCUUUAAAUCUUGUCCAAAAGUCAU